RNAcentral lists this ribosomal RNA (277 nucleotides) under uncultured eukaryote. Its description in RNAcentral is "partial 18S ribosomal RNA". It matches the Rfam family "Eukaryotic small subunit ribosomal RNA", at positions 22 to 294 of the family's 1831-position model. The record is from RNAcentral.
CAGUCAUAUGCUUGUCUCAAAGAUUAAGCCAUGCAUGUCUAAGUAUAAACAAUUUAUACUUGUGAAACUGCGAAUGGCUCAUUAAAUCAGUUAUAGUUUAUUUGAUAGUAUCUUACUACUUGGAUAACCGUGGUAAUUCUAGAGCUAAUACAUGCACACAAUCCCGACUCACGGAGGGAUGUAUUUAUUAGAUACAAAACCAAACUGGGGAGCAAUCUCCAGUGCUUGAUGAUUCAUAAUAACUUCACGAAUCGCAUAGCUUUAUGCUGGCGAUGAA